UACGGGAGGCAGCAGUAGGGAAUUUUCGGCAAUGGGCGAAAGCCUGACCGAGCAACGCCGCGUGAGUGAUGACGGCCUUCGGGUUGUAAAGCUCUGUUGUAAGGGAAGAACGGUAUGGAGAGAAUCUGUAAGUGACGGUACCUUACCAGAAAGCCACGGCUAACUACGUGCCAGCAGCCGCGGUAAU
RNAcentral lists this ribosomal RNA (187 nucleotides) under uncultured rumen bacterium. Its description in RNAcentral is "partial 16S ribosomal RNA". It matches the Rfam family "Bacterial small subunit ribosomal RNA", at positions 340 to 524 of the family's 1533-position model. The record is from RNAcentral.